This 253-nucleotide ribosomal RNA is filed under the name uncultured bacterium. RNAcentral describes it as "partial 16S ribosomal RNA". It matches the Rfam family "Bacterial small subunit ribosomal RNA", at positions 524 to 776 of the family's 1533-position model. The record is from RNAcentral.
UACAGAGGGUGCGAGCGUUGUCCGGAAUCACUGGGCGUAAAGGGCGCGUAGGCGGCCUGGUAAGUCGGGGGUGAAACGCUGCGGCUCAACCGCAGCACUGCCUUCGAGACUGUCAGGCUUGAGCACGGUAGAGGCUGGUGGAAUUCCCGGUGUAGCGGUGGAAUGCGUAGAGAUCGGGAAGAACAUCGGUGGCGAAGGCGGCCAGCUGGGCCGUUGCUGACGCUGAGGCGCGACAGCGUGGGGAGCAAACAGG